CAAUAGCGUAUAUUAAAGUUGUUGCAGUUAAAGAGCUCGUAGUUGGAUUUCUGGAGGGAGCGUCGGCCCGUAUUUACGAGUGCGUGACGUCUCUGUCCAUCCUUGCGGGAAGGCACGGCAUUGAUUUGUUGUGUCGGAUCGCAUCAUUUACUGUGAAAAAAUUAGAGUGUUCAAAGCAGGCUUUCGCUUGAAUACAUUAGCAUGGAAUAAUAAGAUAGGACUUUGGUGCUAUUUUGUUGGUUGAGCCUAAAGUAAUGAUUAAUAGGGAUAGUUGGGGGCACCUGUAUUGCGUUGUCAGAGGUGAAAUUCUUGGAUUUACGCAAGACAAACAGCUGCGAAAGCGUCUGCCAAGGAUGUUUUCAUUA
RNAcentral lists this ribosomal RNA (365 nucleotides) under uncultured eukaryote. RNAcentral's name for it is "partial 18S ribosomal RNA". It matches the Rfam family "Eukaryotic small subunit ribosomal RNA", at positions 592 to 975 of the family's 1831-position model. The record is from RNAcentral.